RNAcentral lists this long non-coding RNA (527 nucleotides) under Pavo cristatus (Indian peafowl). RNAcentral's name for it is "lncRNA (ENSPSTG00000001426.1)". Lineage: Eukaryota; Metazoa; Chordata; Aves; Galliformes; Phasianidae. The record is from RNAcentral.
GGCAGAUUGAAGCACAAAUGGGACCCCCGGUGUGAUAAGAGCAGUCCUCAUACACAGUAUGGGUACAAACGCUCCCCAGUGACAGCCAGCCCAGCUGAGCCCAUCCCUGCAGCGUGCAGAUCCAACGGUCUGCUCAGAGAGCUACAGCAGAACACUGCUGACCAGAACAGUGCAUCACCCGCACCAGGAGCAGCUCGUGUAAACAGAACCUCUCCAGGGGGCUUCGUGCUGAAGUGGAAUCAAAAUACAUGCCAGAUGACCAUAACAAAGCGCUGAGACAUAGGCAAGGCAGUUCCAAAUACGGUGCAGUGCUGAUGGGAGCGGCCACGGUCAGUCCAAUGAUCUCCCGGGUUAAUGAACAGCCAGAUCCCAUCGCUCCACUCAGGCUCUGUGCUUGGAGUUCUCUUUCUGCCACACAAACAGCUGAAGUCCACAAUUCCUUGAUCACACGAUAAAGAAAGUUUAUGAGAAAGUGAGGCAGAACAGGACAGAGCCCACAGCAAUAAUUAUGACGGUAUUAAAAGCAC